RNAcentral lists this ribosomal RNA (2924 nucleotides) under Lactiplantibacillus plantarum subsp. plantarum. RNAcentral's name for it is "bacterial LSU rRNA". It matches the Rfam family "Bacterial large subunit ribosomal RNA". The record is from RNAcentral. Lineage: Bacteria; Bacillati; Bacillota; Bacilli; Lactobacillales; Lactobacillaceae.
AGGUUAAGUUAACAAGGGCGCAUGGUGAAUGCCUUGGCACUAGGAGCCGAUGAAGGACGGGACUAACACCGAUAUGCUUCGGGGAGCUGUACGUAAGCUAUGAUCCGGAGAUUUCCGAAUGGGGCAACCCAGCAGUUUUAAUCAACUGUUACCACUAGAUGAAUUCAUAGUCUAGUUGGAGGUAAACGCUGUGAACUGAAACAUCUCAUUAGCAGCAGGAAUAUAAAGAAAUUUCGAUUCCCUAAGUAGCGGCGAGCGAACGGGGAACAGCCCAAACCAAAGUGCUUGCACUUUGGGGUUGUAGGACUGAACAUUUGAGUUAUCAAAGAACUUGAUAGUCGAAGGAUUUGGGAAAAUCCGCCAUAGAUGGUGAUAGCCCAGUAGAUUAAAUCAAAUUCUCUCAGUUCAGGAUCCUGAGUACGGCGGAACACGUGAAAUUCCGUCGGAAUCCGGGAGGACCAUCUCCCAAGGCUAAAUACUACCUAGUGACCGAUAGUGAACCAGUACCGUGAGGGAAAGGUGAAAAGCACCCCGGGAGGGGAGUGAAAUAGUUCCUGAAACCAUGUGCCUACAAUAAGUCAGAGCGCGUUAAUGCGUGAUGGCGUGCCUUUUGUAGAAUGAACCGGCGAGUUAUGAUCCCGUGCAAGGUUAAGACUAAAAAGUCGGAGCCGUAGCGAAAGCGAGUCUGAAAUGGGCGUUUUGAGUACGAGGUUAUAGACCCGAAACCAGGUGACCUAUCCAUGUCCAGGUUGAAGGUGCGGUAAAACGCACUGGAGGACCGAACCCGUGUAAGUUGAAAAUUGCUGGGAUGAGGUGUGGAUAGCGGUGAAAUUCCAAACGAACUUGGAGAUAGCUGGUUCUCUCCGAAAUAGCUUUAGGGCUAGCCUCGGAAUUAGGAUCAUGGAGGUAGAGCACUAUUUGGACUAGGGGCCCGUCUUGGGUUACUGAAUUCAGAUAAACUCCGAAUGCCAUUGAUUCAUAUCCGGGAGUCAGACGAUGAGUGAUAAGAUCCACCGUCGAAAGGGGAACAGCCCAGACCAUCAGUUAAGGUCCCUAAAUGUAUGCUAAGUGGAAAAGGAUGUGGAGUUGCAUAGACAACUAGGAUGUUGGCUCAGAAGCAGCCACCAUUUAAAGAGUGCGUAAUAGCUCACUAGUCGAGUGAUCCUGCGCCGAAAAUGUACCGGGGCUAAGCAUACUACCGAAACCAUGGAUGCGACCAUUAGGUCGCGUGAUAGGAGAGCGUUCUAAGGGCGGUGAAGCAAGAUCGUGAGGACUUGUGGAGCGCUUAGAAGUGAGAAUGCCGGUAUGAGUAGCGAAAGAUAGGUGAGAAUCCUAUCCACCGAAUGACUAAGGUUUCCUGGGGAAGGCUCGUCCUCCCAGGGUUAGUCGGGACCUAAGUCGAGGCCGAGAGGCGUAGACGAUGGAUAACAGGUUGAGAUUCCUGUACUAGUUAAGUGCGUUUGAGCAAUGGAGGGACGCAGGAGGCUAAGAUGUGCAUUCUGUUGGAUUAGAAUGUCCAAGCAGUAAGGUCUUGUGAAGAGUCAAAUGCUUUUCACUUUAAGGACAAGCUGUGAUGGGGAGCGAAAUUUAGUAGCGAAGCGUCUGAUGUCACACUGCCGAGAAAAGCUUCUAGUGAGUACUUAACUACCCGUACCGCAAACCGACACAGGUAGUCGAGGAGAGAAUCCUAAGGUGAGCGAGUGAACUCUCGUUAAGGAACUCGGCAAAAUGACCCCGUAACUUCGGGAGAAGGGGUGCUGAUCGCAAGAUCAGCCGCAGUGAAUAGGCCCAGGCGACUGUUUAUCAAAAACACAGGUCUCUGCAAAAUCGUAAGAUGACGUAUAGGGGCUGACGCCUGCCCGGUGCUGGAAGGUUAAAAGGAUGGGUUAGCUUCGGCGAAGCUCAGAAUUGAAGCCCCAGUAAACGGCGGCCGUAACUAUAACGGUCCUAAGGUAGCGAAAUUCCUUGUCGGGUAAGUUCCGACCCGCACGAAAGGCGUAACGAUCUGGGCACUGUCUCAACGAGAGACUCGGUGAAAUUAUAUUGUCCGUGAAGAUGCGGACUACCCGCGACAGGACGGAAAGACCCCAUGGAGCUUUACUGUAGCUUGAUAUUGAGUGUUUGUACAGCUUGUACAGGAUAGGUAGGAGCCAUAGAAACCGGAACGCUAGUUUCGGUGGAGGCGUUGGUGGGAUACUACCCUCGCUGUAUGACCACUCUAACCCGCACCACUAAUCGUGGUGGGAGACAGUGUCAGGUGGGCAGUUUGACUGGGGCGGUCGCCUCCUAAAAAGUAACGGAGGCGCCCAAAGGUUCCCUCAGAAUGGUUGGAAAUCAUUCGCAGAGUGUAAAGGCACAAGGGAGCUUGACUGCGAGACAGACAGGUCGAGCAGGGACGAAAGUCGGGCUUAGUGAUCCGGUGGUACCGUAUGGAAGGGCCAUCGCUCAACGGAUAAAAGCUACCCUGGGGAUAACAGGCUUAUCUCCCCCAAGAGUCCACAUCGACGGGGAGGUUUGGCACCUCGAUGUCGGCUCAUCGCAUCCUGGGGCUGUAGUCGGUCCCAAGGGUUGGGCUGUUCGCCCAUUAAAGCGGUACGCGAGCUGGGUUCAGAACGUCGUGAGACAGUUCGGUCCCUAUCCGUCGCGGGCGUAGGAAAUUUGAGAGGACCUGUCCUUAGUACGAGAGGACCGGGAUGGACAUACCUCUGGUGUACCAGUUGUGCCGCCAGGCGCAUCGCUGGGUAGCUACGUAUGGAUGUGAUAAACGCUGAAAGCAUCUAAGUGUGAAACACACCUCGAGAUGAGAUUUCCCAUUCCUUUAUGGAAGUAAGACCCCUGAAAGAUGAUCAGGUAGAUAGGUUAGAAGUGGCAGUGCGGUGACGCAUGAAGCGGACUAAUACUAAUCGGUCGAGGACUUAACCAAG